Molecule: long non-coding RNA, 314 nt
Organism: Pygocentrus nattereri (red-bellied piranha)
Lineage: Eukaryota; Metazoa; Chordata; Actinopteri; Characiformes; Serrasalmidae
Exons: 2
Source: RefSeq, a predicted model, not a curated record
UCUGUCUAUCUCUAACUCUCUCUCUCUCUCUCUCAUGUAUUGUUGGACACGUUGUUUCCCUUUUCCUCUCUUGUUGUGCUUGCAGGUUCACCAAACCCAUCUCACCGGACCCGUGUCAGUGACGUCACCCAUCCAUCUGUCUGUCCAUCCCUCUGUUCGUCCAUCCAUCCACUCAUCGAUCCAGUACCAGGCAGCAGAGAUUUGACUGAGUUGAACUGACUGGCCUCCACCAUCAUCAAUCGAUCCUGCAGUUCUGUCGAGAAAUCCUCAUUCAGCUGAUGAUUGACUGGAUUAAAGAUUCAAGAUUCAAAGUU